RNAcentral lists this ribosomal RNA (253 nucleotides) under uncultured bacterium. RNAcentral's name for it is "partial 16S ribosomal RNA". It matches the Rfam family "Bacterial small subunit ribosomal RNA", at positions 524 to 776 of the family's 1533-position model. The record is from RNAcentral.
UACGUAGGGUGCAAGCGUUGUCCGGAAUUAUUGGGCGUAAAGAGCUCGUAGGCGGUCUGUCGCGUCGGCUGUGAAAACCCGGAGCUCAACUCCGGGCCUGCAGUCGAUACGGGCAGACUGGAGUUCGGCAGGGGAGACUGGAAUUCCUGGUGUAGCGGUGAAAUGCGCAGAUAUCAGGAGGAACACCGGUGGCGAAGGCGGGUCUCUGGGCAGUAACUGACGCUGAGGAGCGAAAGCAUGGGGAGCGAACAGG